Molecule: long non-coding RNA, 502 nt
Organism: Odontomachus brunneus
Lineage: Eukaryota; Metazoa; Arthropoda; Insecta; Hymenoptera; Formicidae
Exons: 3
Source: RefSeq, a predicted model, not a curated record
CGACGUUUCUGAUGCCGGUCCUCCGUCCUCCUGCAGCUGCCGCGGUCGGUGUUGCUGUUGGAGUAGGCGUCACAGCCGUGUCCUCGAUCGUGGUGCCUGGAAAGAACAUUGAAAAUCAAGAAUAAUUGAGAAAACGGAAGGCCUGUAAACACAUAGGAAUGCGGCAUUUUGUUGGGAUUAACUGUAUUGCUAUUGAAAGUAGCAUCUGCAUCUGCACCCCGGUGCAACGUGGUGCAUUGUCAUCGAACGCACCCCUGAAAAACCGCGAACAAUAGGGUCUCGGGACACGACGCCUAACGACACGACCAUCAGGUCGACAACCGUCGUUAGACGGGGUUCGGUAAAAAAAAAUAUUGAAACUAUCGGACAGCACAAGGUUGGAAGACGCGAUUUGUAGCCUGAAACUUUCCGAUUUUUCGGCAUCAUUAACAGCUGCUUACCGGCUUGCGGAGUGGUAGGGACGAUCACACUGGGCCUACUGUGGUGCACACGUGCCGCCGAC